RNAcentral lists this non-coding RNA (148 nucleotides) under Nomascus leucogenys (northern white-cheeked gibbon). The record is from Rfam by way of RNAcentral. Lineage: Eukaryota; Metazoa; Chordata; Mammalia; Primates; Hylobatidae.
GCCGGGUGUGAUGGCACGCGCCUGUAGUCCCAGUUACUCAGGAGGCUGAGGCAGGAGAAUCGCUUGAACCCAGGAGGCGGAGGUUGCAGUGAGCAUAGGUCUUGGCACUGCACUUCAGCCUGGGCAACAGAGCGAGACUCUGUCUCAA